This 72-nucleotide transfer RNA is filed under the name Monimopetalum chinense. Its description in RNAcentral is "tRNA-Thr". The record is from RNAcentral. Lineage: Eukaryota; Viridiplantae; Streptophyta; Magnoliopsida; Celastrales; Celastraceae.
CAAUUUUUCCUUUCGUAAUACCCUACCCCCAGGGGAAGUCGAAUCCCCGCCGCCUCCUUGAAAGAGAGAUGU